Non-coding RNA from Pelobates cultripes (western spadefoot toad), 1174 nucleotides. The record is from the annotation of a GenBank genome assembly. NCBI's taxonomy places the organism in Eukaryota, Metazoa, Chordata, Amphibia, Anura, Pelobatidae.
AGUAAAACCAUGCAGACAAAGUAUACAAGUGAAAGUAUACAGUACAGGCAUGCAAACAGUAUGGAACAUACAUAUAACCACAUGAACCUCAAUAUAAAGUGCUCAUAAUAUGAAACCAUAUAUAAAUGUAACCACAGGCGUACUGACCUAGAGCAGGAGAUAAGUACCCCGACGUUUCGGCACACAGCCUUCCUCAAGGGGAAUCUCCCUUGAGGAAGGCUGUGUGAUGAAACGUCGGGGUAUUUAUCUCCUGCUCUAGGUCUAAGUAGUGCCAGAUCACCCUUUAUGCAAAUUGGAUUUAGGCUGUGGCAGGUGAGUUUAGGCAGAAAUAGACAAGUAACUCUAUCCACGACUUUUGGUGUGAGAUGACGGUUUAGGAAGAGGUGUUCUGUGAGCUAGCAAGGUACUAGGCCAGUGAUGGUGAACAUUUUUGAGCCCAAGUGCCCAAACUGCAAUACAUUUGCAACUUUUUUCUCCUCAAAGUUCCAACACUGCAAUUACACCUGAAUACUGAGGUUUAAGUUUAGAAAAAUCAACUCGUACAGUUGUCCGAACUAAUUAACAUCUUUUGUUUUAAAAGAACACAACAGACAGAGUUCAAUGAUACAAAUUUUAAAUAAUGAUAUAAAUAGAUAAAAUUAAGCUUAUAUUUAUUAGUAUCUCCAACAAAUGCAAUACAUACACACAGACUGCUGAACACAUUCACACACCGACUGCUUAAUACAUACACACGACACACACACUGACUACUUAAUACAUACACCCACCAACACACAGACUGACUGCUAAAUACAUACACACAGUCCGCUAAAUACACACACAAACAUACACACACAGUCCGCUGAAUACACACACACACAGAUUGCUGAGUACACACAGUCUGCUGAAUACAUACACACAGUCUGCUGAAUACACACACACACUGCUGAAUACAUAAAGACUGCUGAAUACACACAUACAUAUACUGCAUUGAGGGGUGCAGUGUAUGUGUUUGUGUGUAAGGGUGUGGAGUAUGUGUGGGAGGGGGGUGUGUGUGUGUGAGGUGCUGUGUUGUGUGUGAGGUGCUUUGUUGUGUGUGUGUGGGGGGAUAGGAGUUCUGUGUGUCAGGGGGUAGGGGUGCUGUGUGUGGGGGGUAGGGGUUCUGUGUGUCGGGUAGGAGGUGCUGUGUGUGUGG